GAGAUGCUAAGCCACUGCAAACAGGAACUGAGCAGGGAGAUCAUUGUGCAUUAUUAUUUUUAAAAAUAUUUUUAUUAAAGAUUUUAUUUUGAGGGGAUAUUUACUGUGAUCUUUUGUGAGCACCAUAUUAGUUUCUGGCAGGCACACACUGGGAAUCCUUGUAUUAAGCAGAUUCCAACUGAACUACCUAAUCCAGCUCUCCUGGCACAGAAGCCAAUCCACACAGUUCCACUGUGUGUAUGAACACUGAAGCCACACAAGGAACACCAGUUACACAGGUCUUUCUAAUCUAGUCAUUGCUGGAGGGAUGUAUAAAUGGAGCAAUUGUUAGCACCGAAUCUGGGAGGUUACCUGUCUAAUUUCCAUAUUCUAUCUCAUGGUCACAUUUCAGUGUCAUAGUUUCACAUGAAUAAAACAAUGCACUGAGGGAUCGUAGCUACAUCAGUAAAGAGGUUGGAGGUAGGAAGGAUUCAAGUUGUCUUCAAUGGCAGCCUCAUGUAGUGUGCACUGCAACAAUCCAAUCUGGAAGUUACCAGAGCAGGCAUAGGCAAACUUGGCCCUCCAGAUGUAUUGGGACUACAAUUCCCAUCAUCCCUGACCACUGGUCCUGUUAGCUAGGGAUCAUGAGAGUUGUAGUCCCCAAAAAUAUGGAGGGCUGAGUUUGCCUAUGCCUGUAACCAGAGCAUGGAGUAAAGUGGCCUGAUCCACUCUCCAAAAGGGGUUUCUGCUGGCAAAUCAGAGAAAAGGCACUCCUAGCCAUCAAGGCCACCUGCGUCUCCAAGAACACCCCCAAAAUGCCUCUCCACCUCCUGGACUGAGAACUCUGUUUUGUUUGUUUUUUCAGAAUUCAGUGUUCAAUGAAUGCCCCAUGUUUGUAUGUCCUGCAGCAUUGAUUCUGAAUGUCCCUCUAUACACCCUCCUUGCAGUUCAGUUCCUCUCCUUACUCCAUGUCUCUCUUUCCUGCUUACCAAAAGAUAACCUGUACAGAAUCUAAACUGGGUGGCUGGUUUCUUGCCAUUGGUGAGUCAGCAACAUCACUUUGAGAGGAAGGGGUUUGGUUCCCUAGUCACAGCCAUCACCAAAAACAUUUGGAAAUUAAUGAACUACUUCCAGGAACACCAUGUCUUUUCUGGAGCAGUGGGGACAUAAAUUCAGCUGCCAGUUGUGCAAUCAAAUACACACACAGUACAAACCUUGCCAGCAUCCGAGCAAAAUAAAAGCAUUUGUGAGUAAACAUUCACAAAAUGAAUGAACAGUACUGGCAGAGUUCUCAUUUGAUGGGGUCUGAGAGCAAGCACCUUGGAAAAAAACAAGUGCCAACAUUUGCUGGAAUGUUUGUGUCAAUAUUUAAGGUCGCAUUUCUCUGCCAGAAAGUGUUGCUACAACUGGGGCAAAAAUACAGCUAGAAAAGGAUAUUGCAGAGAUAGACAAGGCUAAGAAAAAGGCAACCAACACGAUCAAGGGACUGGAGAAACUCCCCUCUGGGGGAAAAAAAGAUUGCCUCAUUUGGGACUUUUGAAUUUAGCAAGAGAAAGAAAGAAACCGCUUGUGAUGCAACAUGACCCCUUCAGGGCAGAUAGGACAGUUUAACUUCAUUGUCUGCUCCCUCCUCCCACAUUCCACCUUAAGAUGAUGACUAAAUGCAGACUCUCGGCAUCACUAUGAGCCCAGCUCUAGGUGGAGUCCCGGUGGCGUGGGGCGCCAGGGCGCCGGACUUGCGGGGGGGCGCUGCAUGGCAAAGCUGCAUGGAAGCCAUGCUGCGUGCUGCGAGGGCGGGG
Zootoca vivipara (common lizard) is the source of this 1778-nucleotide long non-coding RNA. RefSeq lists it as uncharacterized. The record is from RefSeq and is a predicted model, not a curated record. Lineage: Eukaryota; Metazoa; Chordata; Lepidosauria; Squamata; Lacertidae.